UACGUAGGGGGCAAGCGUUGUCCGGAUUUACUGGGUGUAAAGGGCGCGCAGGCGGAUCUGUUAGUCAGGGGUGAAAUCCUACGGCUCAACCGUAGAACUGCCUCUGAUACUGCAGAUCUUGAGUUCGGAAGAGAGAAGCGGAAUUCCAGGUGUAGUGGUGAAAUACGUAGAUAUCUGGAAGAACACCAGUGGCGAAGGCGGCUUCUUGGUCCGCAACUGACGCUGAGGCGCGAAAGCGUGGGGAGCAAACAGG
This 253-nucleotide ribosomal RNA is filed under the name uncultured bacterium. RNAcentral's name for it is "partial 16S ribosomal RNA". It matches the Rfam family "Bacterial small subunit ribosomal RNA", at positions 524 to 776 of the family's 1533-position model. The record is from RNAcentral.